AAACCAUGAUGAGGACACUCUAAGAUGAGGUCUUUGAAACUUUCCAUACAUCGAGAGAAUGAUUCAUUGGGUCUUUGGAGAAACUUAAAAAUGUCGUUCCUAAGCUU
RNAcentral lists this small nucleolar RNA (107 nucleotides) under Cephalotus follicularis. Its description in RNAcentral is "Plant small nucleolar RNA R71". It matches the Rfam family "Plant small nucleolar RNA R71". Rfam says of the family: R71 is a member of the C/D box family of snoRNAs containing the C (UGAUGA) and D (CUGA) box motifs. The record is from Rfam by way of RNAcentral. Lineage: Eukaryota; Viridiplantae; Streptophyta; Magnoliopsida; Oxalidales; Cephalotaceae.